This 208-nucleotide long non-coding RNA is filed under the name Mus musculus (house mouse). Its description in RNAcentral is "long non-coding RNA chr11:77293776-77293984". The record is from RNAcentral. Lineage: Eukaryota; Metazoa; Chordata; Mammalia; Rodentia; Muridae.
CGGGAUUGGAAUGACCAAGGCCGACUUGAUCAAUAACCUUGGCACCAUUGCCAAGUCGGGCACCAAAGCCUUCAUGGAGGCUUUGCAGGCUGGUGCAGAUAUCUCUAUGAUUGGCCAGUUUGGUGUUGGUUUUUACUCUGCCUAUUUGGUUGCUGAGAAAGUGACUGUCAUCACGAAGCAUAACGACGAUGAGCAGUAUGCCUGGGAG